UAGAGUUUGAUCUGGCUCAGGACGAACGCUGGCGGCGUGCUUAACACAUGCAAGUCGAACGGUGAUGGGGGAGCUUGCUUCUCCUGAUCAGUGGCGAACGGGUGAGUAACACGUGAGUAACCUGCCCUUGACUCUGGGAUAACUCCGGGAAACCGGGGCUAAUACUGGAUACGAAGCGCCUCGGCAUCGGGUGCGCUUGGAAAGUUUUUCGGUCAAGGAUGGACUCGCGGCCUAUCAGCUUGUUGGCGGGGUAACGGCCCACCAAGGCGUCGACGGGUAGCCGGCCUGAGAGGGCGACCGGCCACACUGGGACUGAGACACGGCCCAGACUCCUACGGGAGGCAGCAGUGGGGAAUAUUGCACAAUGGGCGAAAGCCUGAUGCAGCGACGCCGCGUGAGGGAUGAAGGCCUUCGGGUUGUAAACCUCUUUCAGUAGGGAAGAAGCGAAAGUGACGGACCUGCAG
RNAcentral lists this ribosomal RNA (464 nucleotides) under bacterium KB105. Its description in RNAcentral is "bacterial SSU rRNA". It matches the Rfam family "Bacterial small subunit ribosomal RNA", at positions 1 to 484 of the family's 1533-position model. The record is from RNAcentral.